UACAGAGGUCUCAAGCGUUGUUCGGAUUCAUUGGGCGUAAAGGGUGCGUAGGCGGCGCGGUAAGUCGGGUGUGAAAUCUCGGGGCUUAACUCCGAAACUGCAUUCGAUACUGCCGUGCUUGAGGACUGGAGAGGAGACUGGAAUUUACGGUGUAGCGGUGAAAUGCGUAGAUAUCGGGAGGAAUACCGAUGGCGAAGGCAGGUCUCUGGGCUGACACUGACGCUCAUGCACGAAAGCGUGGGGAGCAAACAGG
This 253-nucleotide ribosomal RNA is filed under the name uncultured bacterium. Its description in RNAcentral is "partial 16S ribosomal RNA". It matches the Rfam family "Bacterial small subunit ribosomal RNA", at positions 524 to 776 of the family's 1533-position model. The record is from RNAcentral.